Molecule: long non-coding RNA, 1587 nt
Filed under: Anas platyrhynchos platyrhynchos (common mallard)
Lineage: Eukaryota; Metazoa; Chordata; Aves; Anseriformes; Anatidae
Description: lncRNA (ENSAPLG00000018981.1)
Source: RNAcentral
CAUUUGCUGUCUUCCACUGUCUUCACUUUCAAGCUGAAAGCAAAAUAUCUCCCCUUGCUGUAAUCCAGUGCUAGUCCUGAAGGACCUCAGAACUUCUCACCUACUGGCUUCUUUGCAGUAUAUGAAUGCAAGGCAUACUGAACAUGUAUUUUCUAUGUAAGAACAUUAUUUCAGAUGACUGUUUGGCAAAGAAAAUGUUUCAGGAUAGGAAAAAACAGACUAGCUUGAAAAUGCUGCCAAAAGCACCGAAUCUUUUUUGAGGGCAGACACUUUGGAUGCUUCAGCUGGCAGAAAACCACUGAGGGAUAUUUUUCAAAACAUAAAGUACUGUCCUUUUGAAACUGCCCAGUUCUUUAGAAGAAUGUAAAGUGUAUUCACAGGAUACUGGAACCCAGCCACCUAACACUGCUAGAGUAGGAACAGUUCUUGCAAAUCAGAAUUGGACUUUAUUUUAAUAGUACUAAUAAAAUGGACUGAAGGAAACUCUUGCAUUUGAGUAGGAGUUUAUUUUUAGGUAACUCAGUGGCUAAAAAUAGAAUUUCUAUACAUAGGAACCACAUUUUGCCUCUGGUGUGGGUGUUUCUGUCUCACUGGACUUGGAUGUGACUACUGGUGACAGAUGAAUUGUCAGUUCUGUGCUCAUGGGAAGCCACACUUGCAUCGCUUUGGAAGCUUAGCAAUGAGCUGGUGGAAUGCCGAACCCAGUCUGAGACAUAAACUCAGAGAAAAUAAGUAUUUAUCCAUGCGUGGUAUGGGCACCAAAUCUGUAGGCGUUCUCUGAAUUGUGUUUAGAAUGUGGCGCCCUUGCUGACUGCCACCUCUUGGGGCUUUUAGAAGUGUUCCUUAAUGAAUUAUAUAAAAGUCUGAAAGUCUGCCCUUCCCCCCCCCCCCCCCCUUUUUUUUUUCCAUAUUUUUGUUCAUGCCUUUCCUUUCCUUGCACCUCUCUGUGAGAAACGUUCAAAUGGACUUGGGGAGAGGAACAGCAAUGUGGGCCAUUGGACUAGUGAACCAGAACAGUGGUAAAUCUUUUGUUUAUAAAGCAUCUUCUAGACCAGCAAGUUUUACCAGCUGUUUAACAACCCAGUAGAAGGAACUGUAUUUGUGCUGAGAGGACACAGAUGGAUGGAGCAGCUAUGCUGGAGCAGUUUUGGGCAAAGACCACCAAAGCACAGAGGCUUCUAAUGUAAAAGCUACCCCAUGACUUCAAAGCUCCAGUUUCAACUCCUGUGUGCAGAAGACUGCUGUGUGCCCUUAUACAUCUUCAGGGCACCUACCACCUUGGACUUAACAGCAACACUAACAUGUACUGUUUGAUUUGGACAAUUUAUUUUUGCCAAAUUGGUCCCCUGAACAAACCCAAAAAAAGGAGUGAAAAAGUGUUUUUCUUAUAGAUAUAGAUUUUUAGUUCAUAAGAUAUAAUUAAAUCUGUGUUAUCUUAGUGUAAGUGAGUCUAUAUGUCUUUGUAGAAUCAAAUUGGCCUGCAGCUGGCCAAAGCUACUCAUCCUAAUUGUCUGUUCUGGAGUAAUUCUGGAUUUAGGUUUGGAAGAGCCCAGUGACUAACAGAUAUUUGAAGGGGAGGUUGUUGUU